AACGCGAAGAACCUUACCCAGGCUCGAAAUGUAAUAGACGUAACCAGAGAUGGUUAUUUCCGCAAGGACUGUUAUAUAGGUGCUGCAUGGCUGUCGUCAGCUCGUGCCGUGAGGUGUUUGGUUAAGUCCAGCAACGAGCGCAACCCUUAUCAUUAGUUGCCAACGCGUCAAGGCGGGGACUCUAGUGAGACUGCCCGGGUUAACCGGGAGGAAGGUGAGGAUGACGUCAAGUCCGCAUGGCCUUUAUGUCUGGGGCUACACACGUGCUACAAUGGUCGGUACAGAAGGCAGCAAGACCGCAAGGUGGAGCAAAUCCGUAAAGCCGAUCACAGUUCAGAUUGUAGUCUGCAACUCGACUACAUGAAGUUGGAAUUGCUAGUAAUGACGUGUCAGCAACAACGUCGUGAAUACGUUCCCGGGCCUUGUA
Molecule: ribosomal RNA, 427 nt
Filed under: uncultured Chlamydiae bacterium
Lineage: Bacteria; Pseudomonadati; Chlamydiota; Chlamydiia
Description: bacterial SSU rRNA
Rfam family: Bacterial small subunit ribosomal RNA
Source: RNAcentral